Orcinus orca (killer whale) is the source of this 7795-nucleotide long non-coding RNA. RefSeq lists it as uncharacterized. NCBI's taxonomy places the organism in Eukaryota, Metazoa, Chordata, Mammalia, Artiodactyla, Delphinidae. The record is from RefSeq and is a predicted model, not a curated record. The transcript has 3 exons.
GUUGUAAAACAAUUGUGGCAUAUAGACCCUGUGAAGAUGUCACAGAUGCUAGAACCGAAGAGGAACUACAGGAUUUAAUUCAAGUCAGCUACUUUUCUUGUCAGCCGUGUGGCCAAAGGCAGGAAGAAUGUCUCUCAGACUUCAGCUUUGUGGAGGAAGAGUUCAGAUUGCCAGAACUGGACUAGCACUUUUGAAUUUCCCAGAAUGCCAGUCUUUUGGUUUCCACGGGAAGCUCUGCAUCCUUCCCAACCCCCUCCACCCCUGGGCUGCUGGAGUUUGGGGCCACUCGGGUCUGCAGCCUAAAUCUCGCCUCAUUGUUUUGGGCCAGGGUGGGCAGGGCGGGGUUGGGAAGAGGGCCGGCAGCAGGUAAUUGUUGCCUUUGCAAGGGGAAGGAUGGCUUGUGUCCUGGGGACUCUGGGAAAAAGGCCCAUUCUGGUGGCGUGCAUUGGAUCUCCGCACGAGCCUAAUAACUGUGGUGCAUCUAAAGAUGUCAUAAAUAACGGAUGGGACGUUAUGCGGGGCCGGGGCGCGCGGCUGCUAACGUGAGCCCUUGCAUCGGGGUGCUGGCAUAGCAGUUCGGUUUGGCUCUGAAGGAGGAUGUGGCUCCGGCUCCUCACUUGCCUGGGUCGCUGCGCCUGGGAGACGCCGCAUGUUAUGUCGCGGCUGCGCCUCUGUGUCAUGCCUGCGCUCCACGGCUCUUCCUCACAUGGCAAGGACGGUGGCUUCUAGUCCAGGCAGUUCAGCCUCCGGAGUGGGCCAUGGGCCCCAUCCAGGUGACCCCCAACCCCCCGCGGCUGACAGAGGCUUUGUAUUCACACGCCUCAGAACCCCUCCCAAAUUGCCCCAUGCCCUUACAUCCCUGGCAGAAGCCGGGGGCUUUAAUUACUUGAAAUCCUUGUCUCCAUUCCAGAUGUUGGCCCCGCCUCAUCACGAGUUGACUGAGACUGAGGUUCCAUACCCGGACACGGAUUCGGUUGGAGAGAUGCCUACAGGGCCAGAUCAGUUUGCUGUUCCACAUCAGUAUCUGAAUAACAAGCAAACCCAACAUCAAAUGUUCCCAGAGGCAGUUCCAGUGCAAGAGCUCCCAGAGGCAGUUCCAGUUCUAGACUGGGAUCAGAAUUAGCCCUUGUUUCUGCCUUCUGGACACAAAAGUAAGACUAAAGACACAGGUCUGGAUCAGGCUGAAGCUCACCAAUCAUUUGAAAUACUUGUUCCACCUCUAGGUAGUGAGAGCUCAAAACCAAUGAAGUUUAUGGUUUCAUCCCCAAACCUGAAGAAAGAUCUAGUUCAACAUCAACGGCAUGCCAAAGUUGUUGUUGGAACUACAGGCCAAUUUCAAAAAAAAACACUCAGGGUCUAGAACAACAGUUGCAGGGUCAUUAUUUAGAUCCCAGUAUGUAUGCCAUUUAACCUGAGGAGAGCAUACCUAGGGAUUUUUCUGGGAGCCCAUAUAAACCUAUGGAGCCCCCAGAGGAAGCUGAAACUUCUCCAUCCCAGCAGGAGGCCCAACCUCCUCAUCACGAGCUCACUGAGGAAGCUGAAACUUUACCCCCACAGGAGCCCCGUGCUCAGCAUCCACAAAGCCCUGAGCAGGCAGAAUCUUUUUCAACCUUUCAGUCUUCUAAAGUUCUGCGGCUUUUCCUGUGCUUUAAAGGAGACUCCAAUCUACCUGGUGAAACCUGUUUGCUGCAAUUCUGCCUUGGUUUCAACUCCUCUUCGUUGCCUUACCUCAAUAUAUUUUUCCACGAAAGUUGUCCUUUUUAACUCUGCAGGUUUGUGAACUGCAGUGCCCCUGAGCUCCAUUUUUCAACUCGCUCUUUUGUGAACUGGCCGCAAAACCGCAGGAUUGCUUCAGGCCCUAUUCUGGUUCCGGGGCGGCAGGCUGAGGCUUUGGUUAAUUCUUCCUCCUGAUGGGAAAUUAGAGGUGCAUGUGCCCCUCCAAACGCCUACAGCUGUUCUCUCAUUGGUUCCCCCUCAUCCCGUUCAUCCUCCGCACUAAUUGCAGACUGUGCGAAACAGGAGGUUUAAGGCGCUGACUCUCCAAAUGGGGAGAUUGUUAGUAAAGCGGCUGGAAUGGCGAACGCGAGCACCAGGAGAGGAAAAGUGAGGUACGUUGUAGAAACCUUUCCCGAUCACACGGUGUACCAUCCUCUGGGUUUCCCAUGCGUGUUUUAGCUGUAGGAAGAUACCCUUAAACCUGGAGAGUUGGGGCCCAUGGAAUGGGUAGCGCGCAGUACUGCUUUAAAGGGUCUGCAUUUGCUCACCCAACCUCACCAAUCCUCUCAGCCCCAAGUGUCCAGCCUCAUGUGUCAUCCAGCUGUGGGGGUAGAUAAGGUCAAUCCAGGGCGCAUCACAGCCCCUGGACGAAUUUUGUAAGAAUUUCUCUCUCUUUCACUCUCUUUGUGUUUUUUUGUUUUUCGAAAUUUAUUUCUAUAAUGGGCUUCAGCUGAAUUUCACUGCAGUAUUUCUGCCGCUCCACGCACACUUGAUUCCCUUACGGAGACGUAUCAAUACAUAGGUUUUAAGAUUCUGACUUGUCACAUAUAUUCCUCUGCGGUGCAUAGGGGGUGUUGAGUCCAGUUCACUGAGCAAAGAGUAGGUCUUCUCUAUUACACAUGUGGUUUAUGGAACGGGAUGUGUGCUAAUUUCAAACUCUGGUUUUAAUGCAUCACCCCACGUCGCCUCUCCCCUUAAGCAGGCAUAAGCGCGUCUUCUAAAUGUGUGACUGUGUUCUGUUUCGUAAUUCGGUUCAUGUGUAGCCAUGUUUACAUUCCGUCUAUGAGUGAUAUCUUAUGAUAAGUUUCUUUUUCUGUGUGACUUCUUUCACUUAGAAUCGUCGUACCUAAAUCCACUCAUUAUGCUGCUGCUGGCCUUAUGACAGUGAUUUCCAGGCUGAGUGACAUUCCAUUGUACAUAAGUACCACAACUUCUUUAUCCGUUUUUCUCUUUCCUGGGGUGUUUAAGUUGUACCCAAGUCGAGGAUUUUGUAAACAGAGGAGCCCUAAGCUUUGGGGUGGCUGUGUCUUGUUGAUUUUUAUAUUUCCCAAGAUACAUGCCCAUGAGUGGAAGUGCCCUAUGCUCUGUAGCUCUGUUUUUCACAUGUUUCCGGAAACACCAUACACUUCUCCAGAGUGGCUGUUGGCAAUUAAAAUCCGGCCAAUCAGGGUAACAAGGCUCCCUGGUCUGCAUGGCCUGUCCUGCCUCUCUGGUUUUUACACUUUUUUCGGAUGGCCCUUUGGACCGGUUGAAGAGAGACUUCUUUGCUGUGCGGAUUUCCAUUGCCCGCUUCCUUGAUUGGCCAAGAAGGGCGUAUGCGUUUUUGCCUGAAUAUAUUCAGGCAAAAACGCAUACGCCCUUUUUGGGCAACUGCAUCAUUGUCGAAGUUCGGCCGCUUUUCAUGUGCUUUAAAGGAGACUCCAAUCUACCUGGUGAAACCUGUUUGCUGCAAUUCUGCCUUGGUUUCAACUCCUCUUCGUUGCCUUACCUCAAUAUAUUUUUCCACGAAAGUUGUCCUUUUUAACUCUGCAGGUUUGUGAACUGCAGUGCCCCUGAGCUCCAUUUUUCAACUCGCUCUUUUGUGAACUGGCCGCAAAACCGCAGGAUUGCUUCAGGCCCUAUUCUGGUUCCGGGGCGGCAGGCUGAGGCUUUGGUUAAUUCUUCCUCCUGAUGGGAAAUUAGAGGUGCAUGUGCCCGUCCAAACGCCUACAGCUGUUCUCUCAUUGGUUCCCCCUCAUCCCGUUCAUCCUCCGCACUAAUUGCAGACUGUGCGAAACAGGAGGUUUAAGGCGCUGACUCUCCAAAUGGGGAGAUUGUUAGUAAAGCGGCUGGAAUGGCGAACGCGAGCACCAGGAGAGGAAAAGUGAGGUACGUUGUAGAAACCUUUCCCGAUCACACGGUGUACCAUCCUCUGGGUUUCCCAUGCGUGUUUUAGCUGUAGGAAGAUACCCUUAAACCUGGAGAGUUGGGGCCCAUGGAAUGGGUAGCGCGCAGUACUGCUUUAAAGGGUCUGCAUUUGCUCACCCAACCUCACCAAUCCUCUCAGCCCCAAGUGUCCAGCCUCAUGUGUCAUCCAGCUGUGGGGGUAGAUAAGGUCAAUCCAGGGCGCAUCACAGCCCCUGGACGAAUUUUGUAAGAAUUUCUCUCUCUUUCACUCUCUUUGUGUUUUUUUGUUUUUCGAAAUUUAUUUCUAUAAUGGGCUUCAGCUGAAUUUCACUGCAGUAUUUCUGCCGCUCCACGCACACUUGAUUCCCUUACGGAGACGUAUCAAUACAUAGGUUUUAAGAUUCUGACUUGUCACAUAUAUUCCUCUGCGGUGCAUAGGGGGUGUUGAGUCCAGUUCACUGAGCAAAGAGUAGGUCUUCUCUAUUACACAUGUGGUUUAUGGAACGGGAUGUGUGCUAAUUUCAAACUCUGGUUUUAAUGCAUCACCCCACGUCGCCUCUCCCCUUAAGCAGGCAUAAGCGCGUCUUCUAAAUGUGUGACUGUGUUCUGUUUCGUAAUUCGGUUCAUGUGUAGCCAUGUUUACAUUCCGUCUAUGAGUGAUAUCUUAUGAUAAGUUUCUUUUUCUGUGUGACUUCUUUCACUUAGAAUCGUCGUACCUAAAUCCACUCAUUAUGCUGCUGCUGGCCUUAUGACAGUGAUUUCCAGGCUGAGUGACAUUCCAUUGUACAUAAGUACCACAACUUCUUUAUCCGUUUUUCUCUUUCCUGGGGUGUUUAAGUUGUACCCAAGUCGAGGAUUUUGUAAACAGAGGAGCCCUAAGCUUUGGGGUGGCUGUGUCUUGUUGAUUUUUAUAUUUCCCAAGAUACAUGCCCAUGAGUGGAAGUGCCCUAUGCUCUGUAGCUCUGUUUUUCACAUGUUUCCGGAAACACCAUACACUUCUCCAGAGUGGCUGUUGGCAAUUAAAAUCCGGCCAAUCAGGGUAACAAGGCUCCCUGGUCUGCAUGGCCUGUCCUGCCUCUCUGGUUUUUACACUUUUUUCGGAUGGCCCUUUGGACCGGUUGAAGAGAGACUUCUUUGCUGUGCGGAUUUCCAUUGCCCGCUUCCUUGAUUGGCCAAGAAGGGCGUAUGCGUUUUUGCCUGAAUAUAUUCAGGCAAAAACGCAUACGCCCUUUUUGGGCAACUGCAUCAUUGUCGAAGUUCGGCCGCUUUUCAUGUGCUUUAAAGGAGACUCCAAUCUACCUGGUGAAACCUGUUUGCUGCAAUUCUGCCUUGGUUUCAACUCCUCUUCGUUGCCUUACCUCAAUAUAUUUUUCCACGAAAGUUGUCCUUUUUAACUCUGCAGGUUUGUGAACUGCAGUGCCCCUGAGCUCCAUUUUUCAACUCGCUCUUUUGUGAACUGGCCGCAAAACCGCAGGAUUGCUUCAGGCCCUAUUCUGGUUCCGGGGCGGCAGGCUGAGGCUUUGGUUAAUUCUUCCUCCUGAUGGGAAAUUAGAGGUGCAUGUGCCCGUCCAAACGCCUACAGCUGUUCUCUCAUUGGUUCCCCCUCAUCCCGUUCAUCCUCCGCACUAAUUGCAGACUGUGCGAAACAGGAGGUUUAAGGCGCUGACUCUCCAAAUGGGGAGAUUGUUAGUAAAGCGGCUGGAAUGGCGAACGCGAGCACCAGGAGAGGAAAAGUGAGGUACGUUGUAGAAACCUUUCCCGAUCACACGGUGUACCAUCCUCUGGGUUUCCCAUGCGUGUUUUAGCUGUAGGAAGAUACCCUUAAACCUGGAGAGUUGGGGCCCAUGGAAUGGGUAGCGCGCAGUACUGCUUUAAAGGGUCUGCAUUUGCUCACCCAACCUCACCAAUCCUCUCAGCCCCAAGUGUCCAGCCUCAUGUGUCAUCCAGCUGUGGGGGUAGAUAAGGUCAAUCCAGGGCGCAUCACAGCCCCUGGACGAAUUUUGUAAGAAUUUCUCUCUCUUUCACUCUCUUUGUGUUUUUUUGUUUUUCGAAAUUUAUUUCUAUAAUGGGCUUCAGCUGAAUUUCACUGCAGUAUUUCUGCCGCUCCACGCACACUUGAUUCCCUUACGGAGACGUAUCAAUACAUAGGUUUUAAGAUUCUGACUUGUCACAUAUAUUCCUCUGCGGUGCAUAGGGGGUGUUGAGUCCAGUUCACUGAGCAAAGAGUAGGUCUUCUCUAUUACACAUGUGGUUUAUGGAACGGGAUGUGUGCUAAUUUCAAACUCUGGUUUUAAUGCAUCACCCCACGUCGCCUCUCCCCUUAAGCAGGCAUAAGCGCGUCUUCUAAAUGUGUGACUGUGUUCUGUUUCGUAAUUCGGUUCAUGUGUAGCCAUGUUUACAUUCCGUCUAUGAGUGAUAUCUUAUGAUAAGUUUCUUUUUCUGUGUGACUUCUUUCACUUAGAAUCGUCGUACCUAAAUCCACUCAUUAUGCUGCUGCUGGCCUUAUGACAGUGAUUUCCAGGCUGAGUGACAUUCCAUUGUACAUAAGUACCACAACUUCUUUAUCCGUUUUUCUCUUUCCUGGGGUGUUUAAGUUGUACCCAAGUCGAGGAUUUUGUAAACAGAGGAGCCCUAAGCUUUGGGGUGGCUGUGUCUUGUUGAUUUUUAUAUUUCCCAAGAUACAUGCCCAUGAGUGGAAGUGCCCUAUGCUCUGUAGCUCUGUUUUUCACAUGUUUCCGGAAACACCAUACACUUCUCCAGAGUGGCUGUUGGCAAUUAAAAUCCGGCCAAUCAGGGUAACAAGGCUCCCUGGUCUGCAUGGCCUGUCCUGCCUCUCUGGUUUUUACACUUUUUUCGGAUGGCCCUUUGGACCGGUUGAAGAGAGACUUCUUUGCUGUGCGGAUUUCCAUUGCCCGCUUCCUUGAUUGGCCAAGAAGGGCGUAUGCGUUUUUGCCUGAAUAUAUUCAGGCAAAAACGCAUACGCCCUUUUUGGGCAACUGCAUCAUUGUCGAAGUUCGGCCGCUUUUCAUGUGCUUUAAAGGAGACUCCAAUCUACCUGGUGAAACCUGUUUGCUGCAAUUCUGCCUUGGUUUCAACUCCUCUUCGUUGCCUUACCUCAAUAUAUUUUUCCACGAAAGUUGUCCUUUUUAACUCUGCAGGUUUGUGAACUGCAGUGCCCCUGAGCUCCAUUUUUCAACUCGCUCUUUUGUGAACUGGCCGCAAAACCGCAGGAUUGCUUCAGGCCCUAUUCUGGUUCCGGGGCGGCAGGCUGAGGCUUUGGUUAAUUCUUCCUCCUGAUGGGAAAUUAGAGGUGCAUGUGCCCGUCCAAACGCCUACAGCUGUUCUCUCAUUGGUUCCCCCUCAUCCCGUUCAUCCUCCGCACUAAUUGCAGACUGUGCGAAACAGGAGGUUUAAGGCGCUGACUCUCCAAAUGGGGAGAUUGUUAGUAAAGCGGCUGGAAUGGCGAACGCGAGCACCAGGAGAGGAAAAGUGAGGUACGUUGUAGAAACCUUUCCCGAUCACACGGUGUACCAUCCUCUGGGUUUCCCAUGCGUGUUUUAGCUGUAGGAAGAUACCCUUAAACCUGGAGAGUUGGGGCCCAUGGAAUGGGUAGCGCGCAGUACUGCUUUAAAGGGUCUGCAUUUGCUCACCCAACCUCACCAAUCCUCUCAGCCCCAAGUGUCCAGCCUCAUGUGUCAUCCAGCUGUGGGGGUAGAUAAGGUCAAUCCAGGGCGCAUCACAGCCCCUGGACGAAUUUUGUAAGAAUUUCUCUCUCUUUCACUCUCUUUGUGUUUUUUUGUUUUUCGAAAUUUAUUUCUAUAAUGGGCUUCAGCUGAAUUUCACUGCAGUAUUUCUGCCGCUCCACGCACACUUGAUUCCCUUACGGAGACGUAUCAAUACAUAGGUUUUAAGA